Molecule: ribosomal RNA, 661 nt
Filed under: Huarpelater cordobae
Lineage: Eukaryota; Metazoa; Arthropoda; Insecta; Coleoptera; Elateridae
Description: eukaryotic LSU rRNA
Rfam family: Eukaryotic large subunit ribosomal RNA
Source: RNAcentral
GGAGUCUAGCAUGUGCGCGAGUCAUUGGGACUUGUUGCUAAACCUAAAGGCGAAAUGAAAGUGAAAGCGCGCCUUGCGCGCGCCUAGGGAGGAUGGGAGACUUCUAUCGAUAAGCUCCUCGCACUCCCGGGGCGUCUCGUUCUCAUUGCGAGAAGAGGCGCACCCAGAGCGUACACGCUGGGACCCGAAAGAUGGUGAACUAUGCCUGGUCAGGACGAAGUCAGGGGAAACCCUGAUGGAGGUCCGUAGCGAUUCUGACGUGCAAAUCGAUCGUCGGAACUGGGUAUAGGGGCGAAAGACUAAUCGAACCAUCUAGUAGCUGGUUCCUUCCGAAGUUUCCCUCAGGAUAGCUGGCGCUCACGCGCAGGGAACAAUUUAACGAGUCUCAUCCGGUAAAGCGAAUGAUUAGAGGCAUUGGGGUCGAAACGGCCUCAACCUAUUCUCAAACUUUAAAUGGGUGAGAUCUCCGGCUUGCUUGAAAAACGUCUUCGGGCGUCUUGAAGCCGCGAGAUCGGAUCAGAGUGCCAAGUGGGCCAUUUUUGGUAAGCAGAACUGGCGCUGUGGGAUGAACCAAACGUGGAGUUAAAGCGCCUCAAUCGACGCUUAUGGGAUACCAUGAAAGGCGUUGGUAACUUAAGACAGCAGGACGGUGGCCAUGGAA